GGAUGUGAUCAUACCAACUCGCCUGCAUCGGAUCCCAUCAGAACUCCGAAGUUAAGUGAGUUUGGGCAAGAGUAGUACUCGGAUAAGUGACCUCCUGGGAAGUCCUCAUGUUGCAUCCC
This is a ribosomal RNA of Pyrus x bretschneideri (Chinese white pear), 119 nucleotides long. Lineage: Eukaryota; Viridiplantae; Streptophyta; Magnoliopsida; Rosales; Rosaceae. The record is from RefSeq and is a predicted model, not a curated record.